ACCUCUGCAAUAGGCGAAAGCCUGACAGGGUUACUCUGAGUGACUUUCGCUAAGAAAGUCUUUUGACACCUCUAAAAAUGGUGUAGAAUAAGGGGUGGGCAAGUCUGGUGUCAGCCGCCGCGGUAAUACCAGCACCCCGAGUGGUCGGGACGAUUAUUGGGCCUAAAGCAUCCGUAGCCGGUUUUACAAGUCCCCCGUUAAAUCCAACUGCUUAACAGAUGGGCCGCGGAGGAUACUAUAAGACUAGGAGGCAGGAGAGGCAAGCGGUACUCAGUGGGUAGGGGUAAAAUCCGUUGAUCCAUUGAAGACCACCAGUGGCGAAGGCGGCUUGCCAGAAUGCGCUCGACGGUGAGGGAUGAAAGCUGGGGGAGCAAACCGGAUUAGAUACCCGGGUAGUCCCAGCUGUAAACGAUGCAGACUCGGUGAUGGACUAGCUUAAUGCUAGUCCAGUGCCGCAGGGAAGCCGUUAAGUCUGCCGCCUGGGUAGUACGGUCGCAAGACUGAAACUUAA
This 511-nucleotide ribosomal RNA is filed under the name uncultured archaeon. Its description in RNAcentral is "bacterial SSU rRNA". It matches the Rfam family "Archaeal small subunit ribosomal RNA", at positions 346 to 859 of the family's 1478-position model. The record is from RNAcentral.